GGGUACAAGCUUCUGGGAUUCUGAUGAUAACUUCAUUCAUUCUGGCCUAGCUCUUCCUUCCCCAGUACCUGAUUCUGUCCAUUCCCUGUGUCUUGCGCAAUUAUACAAUCUAGCCAACCUCUUCAUUGUUCCAGACCAGUCAUUCUCAACGCUGGCUGCACAGAGGCAUCACUUGGGGAUUUAAUUUGUCUUUGUUGGAUCCUAGGUCUGCAUAUAUUUAAAGUGAUUCUCAGAGAGGACAUAGAAGGUUCCAAGUGGGCGUUGUUGAUUUUGGAGUCUUUGAUCUGGCACUGCAUUUAUCACUGUGUCUGGGAAUAUGGGGCUCACCCUAUAGGCACUUAUAGGGGUCACAGGAUGAACACAAGGCACAAUGUAAUUAAACUGCAUAGCUGGAGAAAGUUUGGAAACUACGGGUUCCAAGAAAACUCUUCCCUGUGACUUGGCAAGGAGCUCAAGAAUGACAACAUAAUCAGCCAAUUAAAUGUAAGCUGGAAGCCUGAUGUCCUUCAGGAUGAGUUUACGGGAAGAAGACAAAUGUAUGUUCACAAGAGGCACCUGCUGUUUUACUGCUGCCUUUUGGAAAGCGCUUGAAGUGUUCUAGAGGUUUUCUCUCAUCAAUCCUUUUGAUAGCUUUAUUAAACAGGAAACGGGACAAACAUUUUAGUCCCUUUCAAACAGAUGAGAUGAUUAACAACAGAUGAAAUGAUUAACACCGUGAAGGUCAAUUGCCUUGUCAAGGGGCAUAGUGACCAUGGGUCAGAAAUGAUUUCAAUAAUGCGUUUCCUUACAAAAUACAUUGCUUAUCUGCAUAGAAUCCUACAGCAACUGUCAAAUACACAAGAAGAUUAUAUUAACAUGAAGAUAUGAAUAUGCUCUUUGAUAAACAAAUUCUUUAAGUCUUUUGGGGCCAAAGCUCUGUUUCAUUUUUCAGUCUAGGGUAAGGAGAUACAGACCAUAUGCCAACUGUGAGCUAAUGCGGGGGUGUUGCUGAAAUCAUACCGGCCUUGGCCUUGUUUGGCAAGAGCCACUUUGAAGAGAAGAGUAAGAAAGUGCAUCUGGUCCAUAUGUCCAUGAAAAUCAGCCUUGGUGACUCUUUGGCAAAGAAGCAGUAGGCUUCCAAUGCACGAUAUAGAUAGAAAGACAUAUCACAUUUUGCAAUUUUAAGUAGGUUUUAAUGCUUUACUAGAGUUCUUAAGCUGACUCUGUGCCCUGAGUGUGCAGAGAAUACAUGGUCAAGGAGAAAGCAUUUAAAGCACAGGACAGCUGCUGUGGUUG
RNAcentral lists this long non-coding RNA (1275 nucleotides) under Equus caballus (horse). Its description in RNAcentral is "lncRNA (ENSECAG00000050410.1)". Lineage: Eukaryota; Metazoa; Chordata; Mammalia; Perissodactyla; Equidae. The record is from RNAcentral.